ACGGGAGGCAGCAGUGGGGAAUAUUGCACAAUGGGGGAAACCCUGAUGCAGCGACGCCGCGUGAGUGAAGAAGUAUUUCGGUAUGUAAAGCUCUAUCAGCAGGGAAGAAAAUGACGGUACCUGACUAAGAAGCACCGGCUAAAUACGUGCCAGCAGCCGCGGUAAUACGUAUGGUGCAAGCGUUAUCCGGAUUUACUGGGUGUAAAGGGAGCGUAGACGGCGAGGCAAGUCUGAAGUGAAAUGCGGGGGCUCAACCCCUGAACUGCUUUGGAAACUGUUUUGCUAGAGUGCAGGAGAGGUAAGUGGAAUUCCUAGUGUAGCGGUGAAAUGCGUAGAUAUUAGGAGGAACACCGGCGGCGAAGGCGGCUUACUGGACUGUAACUGACGUUGAGGCUCGAAAGCGUGGGGAGCAAGCAGGAUUAGAUACCCUGGUA
This 434-nucleotide ribosomal RNA is filed under the name uncultured Lachnospiraceae bacterium. RNAcentral describes it as "partial 16S ribosomal RNA". It matches the Rfam family "Bacterial small subunit ribosomal RNA", at positions 341 to 792 of the family's 1533-position model. Lineage: Bacteria; Bacillati; Bacillota; Clostridia; Lachnospirales; Lachnospiraceae. The record is from RNAcentral.